GCGGGUGUAGCUCAAUGGUAGAGCGGUGGCCUUCCAAGCCACAUACGUGGGUUCGAUUCCCAUCACCCGCUCCA
This 74-nucleotide transfer RNA is filed under the name Bacillota bacterium. RNAcentral describes it as "tRNA-Gly". It matches the Rfam family "tRNA". Rfam says of the family: Transfer RNA (tRNA) molecules are approximately 80 nucleotides in length. Their secondary structure includes four short double-helical elements and three loops (D, anti-codon, and T loops). Further hydrogen bonds mediate the characteristic L-shaped molecular structure. tRNAs have two regions of fundamental functional importance: the anti-codon, which is responsible for specific mRNA codon recognition, and the 3' end, to which the tRNAs corresponding amino acid is attached (by aminoacyl-tRNA synthetases). tRNAs cope with the degeneracy of the genetic code in two manners: having more than one tRNA (with a specific anti-codon) for a particular amino acid; and 'wobble' base-pairing, i.e. permitting non-standard base-pairing at the 3rd anti-codon position. The record is from RNAcentral. Lineage: Bacteria; Bacillati; Bacillota. RNAcentral also lists the same sequence under 1 other name.